This 465-nucleotide ribosomal RNA is filed under the name uncultured Veillonella sp. RNAcentral describes it as "bacterial SSU rRNA". It matches the Rfam family "Bacterial small subunit ribosomal RNA", at positions 338 to 795 of the family's 1533-position model. The record is from RNAcentral. Lineage: Bacteria; Bacillati; Bacillota; Negativicutes; Veillonellales; Veillonellaceae.
CCUACGUGUGGCAGCAGUGGGGAAUCUUCCGCAAUGGACGAAAGUCUGACGGAGCAACGCCGCGUGAGUGAUGACGGCCUUCGGGUUGUAAAGCUCUGUUAAUCGGGACGAAAGGCCUUCUUGCGAAUAGUUAGAAGGAUUGACGGUACCGGAAUAGAAAGCCACGGCUAACUACGUGCCAGCAGCCGCGGUAAUACGUAGGUGGCAAGCGUUGUCCGGAAUUAUUGGGCGUAAAGCGCGCGCAGGCGGAUUGGUCAGUCUGUCUUAAAAGUUCGGGGCUUAACCCCGUGAUGGGAUGGAAACUGCCAAUCUAGAGUAUCGGAGAGGAAAGUGGAAUUCCUAGUGUAGCGGUGAAAUGCGUAGAUAUUAGGAAGAACACCAGUGGCGAAGGCGACUUUCUGGACGAAAACUGACGCUGAGGCGCGAAAGCCAGGGGAGCGAACGGGAUUAGAUACCCCAGUAGUC